CAUUAAUUUCUUUUUUUUUAGUAACAAGAAUUGGUAUUCCAGUACAUCACUGAACUAGAAGAACAAUGUAUGUUUGACACGUUUUCCUACCUAGUUUUAUAUUUUCUUUUGUGAGAAUAGCAUCCCUUUUUACAGCAAGAAAUUUAAUAAAAAUGUUUAUAUAUUUAGUACAGUUUACAGAAACGUAUUUAUCUGUUGUGGCGGGGGCGGCACGUGAUAGAAAUAAGGCGUAUACAUCAUAUCCUCAAUACCCACUAUAGGUGUCGCCCUAGGUACUAGAGAUCGCACGGUCCCAUACAAACUCCUGUUAUGACGGCUGCUUCCAUAUAAAUUUAUCAUUUCACUCAAGCAGUCAAACGCACAUUCACAAAAAAAAGUUUCACUUGAAAAAGUUGCGAAUAUUUGCACAGAUUAUCUGUCACGCGCGAAGUUAAUUGAAUUAUUGUAAGUAGAACUUAUUUUUAAAAAUAAAAAAAUAAGCUACCGGAAA
Long non-coding RNA from Melitaea cinxia (Glanville fritillary), 490 nucleotides. RefSeq lists it as uncharacterized. The transcript has 2 exons. Lineage: Eukaryota; Metazoa; Arthropoda; Insecta; Lepidoptera; Nymphalidae. The record is from RefSeq and is a predicted model, not a curated record.